This 1125-nucleotide long non-coding RNA is filed under the name Gouania willdenowi (blunt-snouted clingfish). Its description in RNAcentral is "lncRNA (ENSGWIG00000010601.1)". Lineage: Eukaryota; Metazoa; Chordata; Actinopteri; Blenniiformes; Gobiesocidae. The record is from RNAcentral.
CAGUUGGUUGAGGUGACAAAUCAUAUAUUUAUUUAAAUUAAAUUACUCAUUAUUUUUAAAUGUUAGCAUAACUCUAUAAGUUAUACUGUGUAUUUUCCACUUAUUUGAUAUAAAUCCUAAACUUCAGGAUUUCCAUCAAUAAUAUUUUUUUAUUUUUUAUUUUUUUUAAUAAUUUCUGUUUCUAUUUGUUAUUACUAAUCCAUUUGAUAUAAUAUUCCAUAAACUCGGUUUAGUAUUGUUUCAUGAAACGUGUUUAUUUGUGAACACCCAGCGGGGCCUCCCGGUAAACCCGGUAAACCUCCGGCCUGGACCGGUCUGAUGAUGGGCUCAAAGACUUUAUGAUAAAAGUGAUUUUCCCCCGUUCAGGGCUCUUUCUUUUCGGGACACCGCUCAAUGGUUCCGUUCACCCCGCCCGGGGUUUGAGCCGCUGUUAGUGAGUGAGCAGCAGCGGGCCAAGCUGGAGCAGCUGCCCGGGGAAAGAGGCCCGGAGAGCGGACACACGGAGAGGCCGCUCUCCUUCAACCGUGUCUCGGCUCUUGGAUUGGCACAGUUUGUUAAAAUAACGAUAUAUCUGGAUAUUAAAUGGUAGCUCGGCCCGCUUUAAUCCGUUUUGAGGUUUAGCGGCGGAGCUAGCUGGAGCAGCUGACGGGGGACGGUGGUUCGGAGGGCGGCUACACGUUGAGGCUGUUCUCGGUAAACUUUGCUCGGACUUCCGCUGCUUUUGAUCGGCGUUUUUAUUCGCUUUGUUGAUGUCGGGUCGGUCAGUGUAGCUAACAUGAUGCGGUAAAGACUGAUCGGUGCUUGACGUUCUUCUGACGCUGAGGCCUGCGGGACGGGCUUUUACCGGGCUCGAGUAGAGCUUCACUGCGGCCUGAGGAGCUCUUGGUGCGGUCGAGGGUGCCGCCUCCUCCCGUCAUGGAGCGGAUGGAGAUAGACCAGUGCGCAGGCGCAGGAGUGCUGCGCAGAUCAAACAGUGCCCCCAUGAUCACCAGUGUCAGUGACAGGAUGGACAUCUUCAGUCCCGUCUGCUCGUCUCGCUACAGACGCAGCAGUGUGUCCGUCAACCCCAGCACCCCCUCACAGGUCAGUGAACGCCUCACAGUACUACUGAUGUCAGAUACAUAG